UGGUGCCACAGGAUUUUUUUUCCUGAGCAUAAAACAAGCUUAGAGAAGCAGCAGGAGCGCCGCAGUGGGGCAACAUACAGUGGGGCUUUACUGAAUCUAAUGAAGGGUUGGCACGGGUCGGCUAUUUGAGGCUGGCCCGGGGAACACUCGGGCUAGUCUGUUCAAUAGCACUCGAUAGGAUGCGAGGCCACUUGGAGAGAGACAUGCUGUCCUCCAGGCUGAGGUAUGUGCACACGGAACACAAGGCGAACGCGGGUGUUUUUCCGACCGACGUCCGUCUCGCCCUUCCUCAGCUCGAUGUCGGCGUUCCUGAGCUUCAGGAUCCCAGCACAGUCGAUUCUCGGGAUCUCGAGGACUUUGGUGCCGUGGAUGACCUUCUCGUAGCUGGUGGUCGUAACUGUCUUGCCAGUGAUGCGG
Sebastes umbrosus (honeycomb rockfish) is the source of this 417-nucleotide long non-coding RNA. RefSeq lists it as uncharacterized. The transcript is spliced from 3 exons. NCBI's taxonomy places the organism in Eukaryota, Metazoa, Chordata, Actinopteri, Perciformes, Sebastidae. The record is from RefSeq and is a predicted model, not a curated record.